AAGGAAAGCGGGAGGCAGGCCUAACACAUGCAAGUCGAGCGGAUGAAGGGAGCUUGCUCCUGGAUUCAGCGGCGGACGGGUGAGUAAUGCCUAGGAAUCUGCCUGGUAGUGGGGGAUAACGUCCGGAAACGGGCGCUAAUACCGCAUACGUCCUGAGGGAGAAAGUGGGGGAUCUUCGGACCUCACGCUAUCAGAUGAGCCUAGGUCGGAUUAGCUAGUUGGUGGGGUAAAGGCCUACCAAGGCGACGAUCCGUAACUGGUCUGAGAGGAUGAUCAGUCACACUGGAACUGAGACACGGUCCAGACUCCUACGGGAGGCAGCAGUGGGGAAUAUUGGACAAUGGGCGAAAGCCUGAUCCAGCCAUGCCGCGUGUGUGAAGAAGGUCUUCGGAUUGUAAAGCACUUUAAGUUGGGAGGAAGGGCAGUAAGUUAAUACCUUGCUGUUUUGACGUUACCAACAGAAUAAGCACCGGCUAACUUCGUG
This 484-nucleotide ribosomal RNA is filed under the name uncultured bacterium. RNAcentral describes it as "partial 16S ribosomal RNA". It matches the Rfam family "Bacterial small subunit ribosomal RNA", at positions 31 to 507 of the family's 1533-position model. The record is from RNAcentral.